This 71-nucleotide transfer RNA is filed under the name Actinomycetota bacterium. RNAcentral's name for it is "tRNA-Asn". It matches the Rfam family "tRNA". Rfam says of the family: Transfer RNA (tRNA) molecules are approximately 80 nucleotides in length. Their secondary structure includes four short double-helical elements and three loops (D, anti-codon, and T loops). The record is from RNAcentral. Lineage: Bacteria; Bacillati; Actinomycetota.
UCCCCCAUGAUGUAACGGCAGCAUCCUUCACUGUUAAUGAAGUCGUCCUGGUUCAAAUCCAGGUGGGGGAG